Molecule: unclassified non-coding RNA, 240 nt
Filed under: soil metagenome
Description: partial contains 5.8S ribosomal RNA, internal transcribed spacer 2, and large subunit ribosomal RNA
Source: RNAcentral
AACGGUCUAUACCUGCGGUACCUGCGGAAGGAUCAUUAAUGAAUGUCUCGGAGGGGUUAGAUGCUGGUCUCUCACCGUGAGAGGCAGGUGCGCACCCCUCGACUUCUAAUUUUUCCACACACCUGUGCACUUGUCCUCUCACUCGUGAGGGGAUGCUCCUUCUCACACACAUGCCUGUCCAUGUAGCAUGUCUCUGAUCCCCAAGGGGUCACGAACACAAAUACAACUUUCAACAACGGA